This 84-nucleotide transfer RNA is filed under the name Photobacterium kishitanii. RNAcentral's name for it is "tRNA-Leu". It matches the Rfam family "tRNA". Rfam says of the family: Transfer RNA (tRNA) molecules are approximately 80 nucleotides in length. Their secondary structure includes four short double-helical elements and three loops (D, anti-codon, and T loops). The record is from RNAcentral. Lineage: Bacteria; Pseudomonadati; Pseudomonadota; Gammaproteobacteria; Vibrionales; Vibrionaceae.
GUGUACGUGGUGGAAUUGGUAGACACGCCAGCAUGAGGUGCUGGUUCUUUUAGAGUGAGAGUUCGAGUCUCUCCGUACGCACCA